Molecule: non-coding RNA, 268 nt
Organism: Paramuricea clavata
Lineage: Eukaryota; Metazoa; Cnidaria; Anthozoa; Malacalcyonacea; Plexauridae
Source: the annotation of a GenBank genome assembly
GUUAUGAGUAUCACGGUGAUUGUUGUUUCAAGUCAAAUAACAUUGAAGUCGCUAACUGUGGAGAGGAAUAUUUUGUCUACAAAUUGAGUCCUUCUCCUAGUUGUAAUUUGAGAUACUGUGGGGCAGAUAACUGAACCACGCGCUAUGAACAACGAUAGCACUAACAUUAGAUUGCACUCAUUAUAUCAGGUUAUUUGCAAUAAAAUAUAUAAUAUAAGGGUUUAGGGGUAAGCAACGGUUGCACAAGACAGGAUGAAUUUGAAGUCGU